UGGGGAAUUUUGGACAAUGGACGCAAGUCUGAACCAGCCAUGCCGCGUGAAGGAUGAAGGUCCUCUGGAUUGUAAACUUCUUUUAUAGGGGACGAAAAAAGGGAAUUCUUUCUCGUCUGACGGUACCCUAGGAAUAAGCACCGGCUAACUCCGUGCCAGCAGCCGCGGUAAUACGGAGGGUGCAAGCGUUAUCCGGAUUUACUGGGUUUAAAGGGAGCGUAGGUGGGUCUGUAAGUCAGUGGUGAAAUCUCCGAGCUUAACUCGGAAACUGCCAUUGAUACUAUCAGUCUUGAAUAUUGUGGAGGUCAGCGGAAUAUGUCAUGUAGCGGUGAAAUGCUUAGAUAUGACAUAGAACACCAAUUGCGAAGGCAGCUGGCUACGCAUAUAUUGACACUGAGGCACGAAAGCGUGGGGAUCAAACA
RNAcentral lists this ribosomal RNA (422 nucleotides) under uncultured bacterium. RNAcentral describes it as "bacterial SSU rRNA". It matches the Rfam family "Bacterial small subunit ribosomal RNA", at positions 355 to 774 of the family's 1533-position model. The record is from RNAcentral.